GAUGAACGCUGGCGGCGUGCUUAACACAUGCAAGUCGAACGAAGCACUUAAGAUUGAUUCUUCGGAUGACGUCUUUUGUGACUUAGUGGCGGACGGGUGAGUAACGCGUGGGUAACCUGCCUCACACAGGGGGAUAACAGUUAGAAAUGACUGCUAAUACCGCAUAACCCGAUAGGAUCGCAUGAUCCAGACGGAAAAGAUUUAUCGGUGUGAGAUGGACCCGCGUCUGAUUAGCUAGUUGGUGAGGUAACGGCCCACCAAGGCGACGAUCAGUAGCCGGCCUGAGAGGGUGAACGGCCACAUUGGGACUGAGACACGGCCCAAACUCCUACGGGAGGCAGCAGUGGGGAAUAUUGCACAAUGGGGGAAACCCUGAUGCAGCGACGCCGCGUGAGUGAAGAAGUAUUUCGGUAUGUAAAGCUCUAUCAGCAGGGAAGAGAAUGACGGUACCUGACUAAGAAGCCCCGGCUAACUACGUG
Molecule: ribosomal RNA, 479 nt
Filed under: uncultured bacterium
Lineage: Bacteria
Description: partial 16S ribosomal RNA
Rfam family: Bacterial small subunit ribosomal RNA
Source: RNAcentral